UGGGGAAUAUUGCACAAUGGGCGCAAGCCUGAUGCAGCCAUGCCGCGUGUGUGAAGAAGGCCUUCGGUUGUAAAGCACUUCAGCGAGGAGGAAGGUGGUGAACUUAAUACGUUCAUCAAUUGACGUUACUCGCAGAAGAAGCACCGGCUAACUCCGUGCCAGCAGCCGCGGUAAUACGGAGGGUGCAAGCGUUAAUCGGAAUUACUGGGCGUAAAGCGCACGCAGGCGGUUUGUUAAGUCAGAUGUGAAAUCCCCGGGCUCAACCUGGGAACUGUAUUUGAAAACUGGCAAGCUAGAGUCUCGUAGAGGGGGGUAGAAUUCCAGGUGUAGCGGUGAAAUGCGUAGAGAUCUGGAGGAAUACCGGUGGCGAAGGCGGCCCCCCUGGANGAAGACUGACGCUCAGGUGCGAAAAGCGUGGGGAGCAAAACAGGAUUAGAUACCCUGGUAGUCCACGCUGUAAAACGAUGUCGAUUUGGAGGUUGUGCCCUUGAGGCGUGGCUUCCGGAGCUAACGCGUUAAAUCGACCGCCUGGGGAGUACGGCCGCAAGGUUAAAAACUC
Molecule: ribosomal RNA, 559 nt
Filed under: uncultured bacterium
Lineage: Bacteria
Description: partial 16S ribosomal RNA
Rfam family: Bacterial small subunit ribosomal RNA
Source: RNAcentral